GAUGAACGCUGGCGGCGUGCCUAAUACAUGCAAGUCGAGCGAACAGACGAGGAGCUUGCUCCUCUGACGUUAGCGGCGGACGGGGGAGUAACACGUGGAUAACCUACCUAUAAUACUGGGAUAACUUCGGGAAACCGGAGCUAAUACCGGAUAAUAUAUUGAACCGCAUGGUUCAAUAGUGAAAGACGGUUUUGCUGUCACUUAUAGAUGGAUCCUCGCCGCAUUAGCUAGUUGGUAAGGUAACGGCUUACCAAGGCAACGAUGCGUAGCCGACCUGAGAGGGUGAUAGGCCACACUGGAACUGAGACACGGUCCAGACUCCUACGGGAGGCCGCGGUAGGGAAGCUUCCGCAAUGGGCGAAAGCCUGACGGAGCAACGCCGCGUGAGUGAUGAAGGGCUUCGGAUCGUAAAACUCUGUUAUUAGGGAAGAACAAAUGUGUAAGUAACUAUGCACGUCUUGACGGUACCUAAUCAGAAAGCCACGGCUAACUACGUG
RNAcentral lists this ribosomal RNA (497 nucleotides) under uncultured bacterium. RNAcentral describes it as "partial 16S ribosomal RNA". It matches the Rfam family "Bacterial small subunit ribosomal RNA", at positions 28 to 507 of the family's 1533-position model. The record is from RNAcentral.